RNAcentral lists this ribosomal RNA (875 nucleotides) under uncultured Candidatus Nitrosopumilus sp. Its description in RNAcentral is "bacterial SSU rRNA". It matches the Rfam family "Archaeal small subunit ribosomal RNA", at positions 21 to 903 of the family's 1478-position model. The record is from RNAcentral. Lineage: Archaea; Thermoproteati; Nitrososphaerota; Nitrososphaeria; Nitrosopumilales; Nitrosopumilaceae.
CCUGACUGCUAUCGGAUUGAUACUAAGCCAUGCGAGUCUUUGUAGUAAUACAAGGCAGACGGCUCAGUAACACGUAGUCAAUCUACCCUAUGGACGGGGAUAACCUCGGGAAACUGAGAAUAAUACCCGACAGAUCAUUAUGCCUGGAAUGGUUUAUGGUUUAAAUGAUUUUUCGCCAUAGGAUGGGACUGCGGUCUAUCAGCUUGUUGGUGAGGUAAUGGCCCACCAAGGCUAUAACAGAUACGGGCUCUGAGAGGAGAAGCCCGGAGAUGGGUACUGAGACACGGACCCAGGUCCUAUGGGGCGCAGCAGGCGAGAAAACUUUGCAAUGUGCGAAAGCACGACAAGGUUAAUCCGAGUGUUUUCUGCUAAAGAAAUCUUUUGCUAGUUUUAAAAUCACUAUCGAAUAAGGGGUGGGCAAGUUCUGGUGUCAGCCGCCGCGGUAAAACCAGCACCUCAAGUGGUCAGGAUGAUUAUUGGGCCUAAAGCAUCCGUAGCCUGCUUUGUCAGUUUUCGGUUAAAUCCAUACGCUCAACGUAUGGGCCGCCGGAAAUACUGCAAAGCUAGGGAGUGGGAGAGGUAGACGGUACUCGGGAGGAAGGGGUAAAAUCCUUUGAUCUCUCGAUGACCACCUGUGGCGAAGGCGGUCUACCAGAACACGUCCGACGGUGAGGGAUGAAAGCUGGGGGAGCAAACCGGAUUAGAUACCCGGGUAGUCCCAGCUGUAAACUAUGCAAACUCAGUGAUGCAUUGGCUUGAUGCCAAUGCAGUGUUGCAGGGAAGCCGUUAAGUUUGCCGCCUGGGAAGUACGUACGCAAGUAUGAAACUUAAAGGAAUUGGCGGGGGAGCACCACAAGGGGUGAAGCCUGCGGUUC